Non-coding RNA from Acinetobacter sp., 73 nucleotides. NCBI's taxonomy places the organism in Bacteria, Pseudomonadati, Pseudomonadota, Gammaproteobacteria, Moraxellales, Moraxellaceae. The record is from Rfam.
GUGGAUGUAGCUCAGUUGGUAGAGCCCCGGAUUGUGAUUCCGGUUGUCGUGGGUUCGAGCCCCAUCAUUCACC